GAUGAACGCUGGCGGCGUGCCUAAUACAUGCAAGUCGAGCGAAUGGAUUAAGAGCUUGCUCUUAUGAAGUUAGCGGCGGACGGGUGAGUAACACGUGGGUAACCUGCCCAUAAGACUGGGAUAACUCCGGGAAACCGGGGCUAAUACCGGAUAACAUUUUGAACCGCAUGGUUCGAAAUUGAAAGGCGGCUUCGGCCGUCACUUAUGGAUGGACCCGCGUCGCAUUGGCUAGUUGGUGAGGUAACGGCUCACCAAGGCAACGAUGCGUAGCCGAGCUGAGAGGGUGGUCGGCCACACUGGGAAUGAGAAACGGCCCCGACUCCUACGGGAGGGAGCAGUAGGGAAUCUUCCGCAAUGGACGAAAGUCUGACGGAGCAACGCCGCGUGAGUGAUGAAGGCUUUCGGGUCGUAAAACUCUGUUGUUAGGGAAGAACAAGUGCUAGUUGAAUAAGCUGGCACCUUGACGGUACCUAACCAGAAAGCCACGGCUAACUACGUGCCAGCAGCCGCAGUAA
RNAcentral lists this ribosomal RNA (515 nucleotides) under uncultured bacterium. RNAcentral's name for it is "partial 16S ribosomal RNA". It matches the Rfam family "Bacterial small subunit ribosomal RNA", at positions 28 to 523 of the family's 1533-position model. The record is from RNAcentral.